This 406-nucleotide ribosomal RNA is filed under the name Colletotrichum sp. LD35b(B2). Its description in RNAcentral is "SSU rRNA". It matches the Rfam family "Bacterial small subunit ribosomal RNA", at positions 450 to 894 of the family's 1533-position model. Lineage: Eukaryota; Fungi; Ascomycota; Sordariomycetes; Glomerellales; Glomerellaceae. The record is from RNAcentral.
GUUUUAAGUACAUAUUAAUAAUGAUAAUAUGUAUAAAAGUCUUGACCAAUUACGUGCCAGCAGUCGCGGUAAUACGUAGGAGACGAGCAUUAUUCAUUUUAAAUAGGUUUAAAGGGUACCCAAACGGUCAAUAUAUCUUAAAUAAAGAAGCACUUGACUAGAGUUAUAUGUAAGAAGACCGUACUUGAGGUGGAGAGAUUAUAUCCGAUGAUACCAAGGGGACUGGUGACGGCGAAGGCUGUCUUUUAUGUAAUAACUGACGUUGGAGGACGAAGGUUUAGAGCACUAACAGGAUUUGACACCCUAGUAGUCUUUACAGACAAUGAUGAAUGCCAUUAACUAGAUUGUAAUUUAGUUUUAUAAAUGAAAAUGAAAGCAUUUCACCUCAAGAGUAAUGUGGCAACGC